Molecule: ribosomal RNA, 253 nt
Filed under: uncultured bacterium
Lineage: Bacteria
Description: partial 16S ribosomal RNA
Rfam family: Bacterial small subunit ribosomal RNA
Source: RNAcentral
UACGUAGGGUGCAAGCGUUGUCCGGAAUUAUUGGGCGUAAAGAGCUCGUAGGCGGUUCGUCGCGUCGGCUGUGAAAACCCGGAGCUCAACUCCGGGCCUGCAGUCGAUACGGGCGGACUUGAGUGUUGCAGGGGAGACUGGAAUUCCUGGUGUAGCGGUGAAAUGCGCAGAUAUCAGGAGGAACACCGGUGGCGAAGGCGGGUCUCUGGGCAACUACUGAUGCUGAGGAGCGAAAGCGUGGGGAGCGAACAGG